This 256-nucleotide ribosomal RNA is filed under the name uncultured bacterium. Its description in RNAcentral is "partial 16S ribosomal RNA". It matches the Rfam family "Bacterial small subunit ribosomal RNA", at positions 524 to 776 of the family's 1533-position model. The record is from RNAcentral.
UACGUAGGGUGCGAGCGUUUGUCCGGAAUUAUUGGGCGUAAAGAGCUCGUAGGCGGUGUGUCACGUCGGCCGUGAAAACCUGCAGCUUAACUGUGGGCGUGCGGUCGAUACGGGCAUCACUGGAGUUCGGCAGGGGAGACUGGAAUUCCUGGUGUAGCGGUGAAAUGCGCAGAUAUCAGGAGGAACACCGGUGGCGAAGGCGGGUCUCUGGGCCGAUACUGACGCUGAGGAGCGAAAGCGUGGGGGAGCAAACAGG